AGGGACAACUGGAUUAGGAGCCUCAGUCUUG
This 31-nucleotide unclassified non-coding RNA is filed under the name Mus musculus (house mouse). Its description in RNAcentral is "oocyte_clustered_small_RNA4711". Lineage: Eukaryota; Metazoa; Chordata; Mammalia; Rodentia; Muridae. The record is from RNAcentral.